This 289-nucleotide ribosomal RNA is filed under the name uncultured Sphingomonadaceae bacterium. RNAcentral describes it as "partial 16S ribosomal RNA". The record is from RNAcentral. Lineage: Bacteria; Pseudomonadati; Pseudomonadota; Alphaproteobacteria; Sphingomonadales; Sphingomonadaceae.
CUACUGGGGUAUCUAAUCCUGUUUGCUCCCCACACUUUCGCACCUCAGCGUCAAUACUUGUCCAGCGAGUCGCCUUCGCCACUGGUGUUCUUCCGAAUAUCUACGAAUUUCACCUCUACACUCGGAAUUCCACUCGCCUCUCCAAGAUUCUAGCCAUCUAGUUUCAAAGGCUAUUCCGGGGUUGAGCCCCGGGCUUUCACCUCUGACUUGAACGGCCGCCUACGCGCGCUUUACGCCCAGUAAUUCCGAACAACGCUAGCUCCCUCCGUAUUACCGCGGCUGCUGGCAC